UGGGUGCAGUUGUUGGUGGAGAGUAUUUAUUCUUGAAGCCAUCGAAUCGUCUGCUCUAAUUCUCCUAAUUAUCUCUUUCAAUUUUAUUGCUGACAAAAGAGCAAACAAACAUGACAAGAUCGUGUAAUAAUUUAUAUGCUAAUUAUUUAAUAGUUUUUUUGUAAAAUGAAGCUGGGUCAAAAGGAAUGCAAGCUGUGUAGGUGAGAUAUCGGGGUUUUGCACAGUGCAAGAUCGUGGCUGGGGAGCGGCUGCCGCAUAAAUUAAUCAACUUCUCUCCACAUGAAUCC
RNAcentral lists this long non-coding RNA (287 nucleotides) under Elaeis guineensis (African oil palm). Its description in RNAcentral is "long non-coding RNA (EGUI_LNC027931)". Lineage: Eukaryota; Viridiplantae; Streptophyta; Magnoliopsida; Arecales; Arecaceae. The record is from RNAcentral.